GCUUCAGUGGUUUAAGUGGUUAGAGCGUCCGCCUCAGAUGCGGGAUGUCGCCGGUUUGAGUCCCGACCGAGUCA
Non-coding RNA from Potamilus streckersoni, 74 nucleotides. The record is from the annotation of a GenBank genome assembly. Lineage: Eukaryota; Metazoa; Mollusca; Bivalvia; Unionida; Unionidae.